AGGGGUGAUUAGUGACAGAGUGAGGGAGGGGGUGACACAGUGACAGAGUGAGGGAGGGGGUGACUAGUGACAGAGUGAAGGAGGUGGUGACUGUCACUAGUCACCCCCUCCCUCUCUCUGUCACUAGUGACACCCUCCCUCACUCUGUCACUAGUGACACCCUCCCUCACUCUGUCACUAGUGACACCCUCCCUCACUCUGUCACUAGUGACACCCU
Pelobates cultripes (western spadefoot toad) is the source of this 217-nucleotide non-coding RNA. NCBI's taxonomy places the organism in Eukaryota, Metazoa, Chordata, Amphibia, Anura, Pelobatidae. The record is from the annotation of a GenBank genome assembly.